GAUGAACGCUGGCGGCGUGCCUAAUACAUGCAAGUCGAGCGAACGGACGAGAAGCUUGCUUCUCUGAUGUUAGCGGCGGACGGGUGAGUAACACGUGGAUAACCUACCUAUAAGACUGGGAUAACUUCGGGAAACCGGAGCUAAUACCGGAUGAUAUUUUGAACCGCAUGGUUCAAAAGUGAAAGACGGUCUUGCUGUCACUUAUAGAUGGAUCCGCGCUGCAUUAGCUAGUUGGUAAGGUAACGGCUUACCAAGGCAACGAUGCAUAGCCGACCUGAGAGGGUGAUCGGCCACACUGGAACUGAGACACGGUCCAGACUCCUACGGGAGGCAGCAGUAGGGAAUCUUCCGCAAUGGGCGAAAGCCUGACGGAGCAACGCCGCGUGAGUGACGAAGGUCUCCGGAUCGUAAAACUCUGUUAUUAGGGAAGAACAUAUGUGUAAGUAACUGUGCACAUCUUGACGGUACCUAAUCAGAAAGCCACGGCUAACUACGUG
This 497-nucleotide ribosomal RNA is filed under the name uncultured bacterium. RNAcentral's name for it is "partial 16S ribosomal RNA". It matches the Rfam family "Bacterial small subunit ribosomal RNA", at positions 28 to 507 of the family's 1533-position model. The record is from RNAcentral.